RNAcentral lists this ribosomal RNA (253 nucleotides) under uncultured bacterium. Its description in RNAcentral is "partial 16S ribosomal RNA". It matches the Rfam family "Bacterial small subunit ribosomal RNA", at positions 524 to 776 of the family's 1533-position model. The record is from RNAcentral.
UACGAGAGGCCCAAACGUUAUUCGGAUUUACUGGGCUUAAAGAGUUCGUAGGCGGCGCAGAAAGUAGGGUGUGAAAUCCCUCGGCUUAACCGGGGAACUGCGUCUGAUACUGGUUGGCUUGAAUCCGGGAGAGGGAUGUGGAAUUCCAGGUGUAGCGGUGAAAUGCGUAGAUAUCUGGAGGAACACCGGUGGCGAAGGCGGCAUCCUGGACCGGUAUUGACGCUGAGGAGCGAAAGCCAGGGGAGCAAACGGG